GGGUGAGUAACACGUGGGCAACUACCCUCUGUCCGGGAUAACCACCGAAAGGUGGGCUAAUACCAGAUGACGUCCCGGCAUCCAAAGGGGCGCGGAGGGAUGGGCCUGCGGCUGAUUAGCUAGUUGGCGGGGUAACGGCCCACCAAGGCUCUGAUCAGUAGCCGAGGUGAGAGGGUGAUCGGCCACACUGGGACUGAGAUACGGCCCAGACUCCUACGGGAGGCAGCAGUGGGGAAUCUUGCGCAAUGGGCGAAAGCCUGACGCAGCGACGCCGCGUGGGCGAUGAAGGCCUUCGGGUUGUAAAGCCCUGUCGGGUGGAACGAACGACGGUACCAUCGAAGGAAGCCCCGGCUAACUACGUGCCAGCAGCCGCGGUAAUACGUAGGGGGCGAGCGUUGUUCGGAUUUACUGGGCGUAAAGCGCGCGUAGGCGGGCCUGCAAGUCCGAUGUGAAAUCCCUCGGCUCAAC
Molecule: ribosomal RNA, 468 nt
Filed under: uncultured soil bacterium
Lineage: Bacteria
Description: bacterial SSU rRNA
Rfam family: Bacterial small subunit ribosomal RNA
Source: RNAcentral